Choloepus hoffmanni (Hoffmann's two-fingered sloth) is the source of this 159-nucleotide small nucleolar RNA. Lineage: Eukaryota; Metazoa; Chordata; Mammalia; Pilosa; Megalonychidae. The record is from Ensembl.
CACUUCAUGCGUUCACCAAGCUGCAGGACCCAGCCUAACUCCUCCCAGUGAUGCAGCACUCAAAAUUCAAGAUGUGCAAAGAAAAUAGGCUGUAAAUACUGCAGUGGACCUCUUUCUUAAUGUUCAGUGUCCUUUGUCUUAAGAUUUGGUGCCAUAUGU